RNAcentral lists this ribosomal RNA (630 nucleotides) under Streptomyces sp. So1Pw_981. Its description in RNAcentral is "bacterial SSU rRNA". It matches the Rfam family "Bacterial small subunit ribosomal RNA", at positions 383 to 1022 of the family's 1533-position model. The record is from RNAcentral. Lineage: Bacteria; Bacillati; Actinomycetota; Actinomycetes; Kitasatosporales; Streptomycetaceae.
CUGAUGCAGCGACGCCGCGUGAGGGAUGACGGCCUUCGGGUUGUAAACCUCUUUCAGCAGGGAAGAAGCGAAAGUGACGGUACCUGCAGAAGAAGCGCCGGCUAACUACGUGCCAGCAGCCGCGGUAAUACGUAGGGCGCAAGCGUUGUCCGGAAUUAUUGGGCGUAAAGAGCUCGUAGGCGGCUUGUCACGUCGGAUGUGAAAGCCCGGGGCUUAACCCCGGGUCUGCAUUCGAUACGGGCUAGCUAGAGUGUGGUAGGGGAGAUCGGAAUUCCUGGUGUAGCGGUGAAAUGCGCAGAUAUCAGGAGGAACACCGGUGGCGAAGGCGGAUCUCUGGGCCAUUACUGACGCUGAGGAGCGAAAGCGUGGGGAGCGAACAGGAUUAGAUACCCUGGUAGUCCACGCCGUAAACGUUGGGAACUAGGUGUUGGCGACAUUCCACGUCGUCGGUGCCGCAGCUAACGCAUUAAGUUCCCCGCCUGGGGAGUACGGCCGCAAGGCUAAAACUCAAAGGAAUUGACGGGGGCCCGCACAAGCAGCGGAGCAUGUGGCUUAAUUCGACGCAACGCGAAGAACCUUACCAAGGCUUGACAUAUACCGGAAAGCAUCAGAGAUGGUGCCCCCCUUGUG